RNAcentral lists this ribosomal RNA (466 nucleotides) under Vreelandella stevensii. RNAcentral's name for it is "partial 16S ribosomal RNA". It matches the Rfam family "Bacterial small subunit ribosomal RNA", at positions 338 to 795 of the family's 1533-position model. Lineage: Bacteria; Pseudomonadati; Pseudomonadota; Gammaproteobacteria; Oceanospirillales; Halomonadaceae. The record is from RNAcentral.
CCUACGGGCGGCAGCAGUGGGGAAUAUUGGACAAUGGGCGAAAGCCUGAUCCAGCCAUGCCGCGUGUGUGAAGAAGGCCUUCGGGUUGUAAAGCACUUUCAGUGGGGAAGAAAGCCUUGGGGCUAAUACCCUCGAGGAAGGACAUCACCCACAGAAGAAGCACCGGCUAACUCCGUGCCAGCAGCCGCGGUAAUACAGGAGGGUGCGAGCGUUAAUCGGAAUUACUGGGCGUAAAGCGCGCGUAGGCGGUCUGAUAAGCCGGUUGUGAAAGCCCCGGGCUCAACCUGGGAACGGCAUCCGGAACUGUCAGGCUAGAGUGCAGGAGAGGAAGGUAGAAUUCCCGGUGUAGCGGUGAAAUGCGUAGAGAUCGGGAGGAAUACCAGUGGCGAAGGCGGCCUUCUGGACUGACACUGACGCUGAGGUGCGAAAGCGUGGGUAGCAAACAGGAUUAGAUACCCCUGUAGUC